GGGGCCAUAGCUCAAUUGGGAGAGCGCCUGCUUUGCAAGCAGGAGGUCGUCGGUUCGAUUCCGACUGGCUCCACCA
Molecule: transfer RNA, 76 nt
Filed under: Robiginitomaculum sp.
Lineage: Bacteria; Pseudomonadati; Pseudomonadota; Alphaproteobacteria; Maricaulales; Robiginitomaculaceae
Description: tRNA-Ala
Rfam family: tRNA
About the family: Transfer RNA (tRNA) molecules are approximately 80 nucleotides in length. Their secondary structure includes four short double-helical elements and three loops (D, anti-codon, and T loops).
Source: RNAcentral